CAUCAACAGUUCAGCGAUGU
This 20-nucleotide non-coding RNA is filed under the name Rattus norvegicus (Norway rat). The record is from RNAcentral. Lineage: Eukaryota; Metazoa; Chordata; Mammalia; Rodentia; Muridae.